RNAcentral lists this ribosomal RNA (425 nucleotides) under uncultured bacterium. RNAcentral's name for it is "partial 16S ribosomal RNA". It matches the Rfam family "Bacterial small subunit ribosomal RNA", at positions 354 to 796 of the family's 1533-position model. The record is from RNAcentral.
GUGGGGAAUAUUGGGCAAUGGGCGAAAGCCUGACCCAGCAACGCCGCGUGAAGGAAGAAGGUCUUCGGAUCGUAAACUUCUAUCCUUGGUGAAGAUAAUGACGGUAGCCGAGAAGGAAGCCCCGGCUAACUACGUGCCAGCAGCCGCGGUAAUACGUAGGGGGCAAGCGUUGUCCGGAAUGAUUGGGCGUAAAGGGCGCGUAGGCGGCCUGGUAAGUCUGGACUGAAAGUCCUGCUUUUAAGGUGGGAAUUGCUUUGGAUACUGUCGGGCUUGAGUGCAGGAGAGGUAAGUGGAAUUCCCGGUGUAGCGGUGAAAUGCGUAGAGAUCGGGAGGAACACCAGUGGCGAAGGCGACUUACUGGACUGUAACUGACGCUGAGGCGCGAAAGUGUGGGGAGCAAACAGGAUUAGAAACCCUGGUAGUCC